GAUGAAGAACGUAGCGAAAUGCGAUAAGUAAUGUGAAUUGCAGAAUUCAGUGAAUCAUCGAAUCUUUGAACGCACAUUGCGCCCGCUAGUAUUCUGGCGGGCAUGCCUGUCCGAGCGUCAUUUCAACCCUCAAGCCCCCGGGCUUGGUGUUGGGGAUCGGCGAGCCUCCGCGCCCGCCGUCCCCUAAAUUUAGUGGCGGUCUCGCUGUAGCUUCCUCUGCGUAGUAGCACACCUCGCACUGGGAAACAGCGCGGCCACGCCGUUAAACCCCCAACUUCUGAACGUUUGACCUCGGAUCAGGUAGGAAUACCCGCUGAACUUAAGCAUAUCAAUAAGCGGAGGA
This 343-nucleotide unclassified non-coding RNA is filed under the name soil metagenome. RNAcentral's name for it is "partial contains 5.8S ribosomal RNA, internal transcribed spacer 2, and large subunit ribosomal RNA". The stretch from base 1 to 120 matches the Rfam family "5.8S ribosomal RNA", at positions 35 to 154 of the family's 154-position model. The record is from RNAcentral.